GGGCAGAACGCGCAGGGGCGUCAAGGCAACGGGGGGUCGCGAGAACCAAAUUUUCUCCUUUUUUCGCCCCAAAGUAACAGGCGAAAUCCCCUCAUGAGGGCUUCUCCUAUGCUGGGAACAACCCCCGACGAAACUUUGAAAUAUUAAGAGUGGCGAUACGCUCACUUUCAAUCAGGGCGCUCGCUUGUCAAGUGUCCACCACCUUCAUGCAGUGUUGCUUUGUAGGUUUCAAAAAGCUCAUUCAUUUGCAAAUGCCCCCCACCCCACCCUGCGAGUAGAUCAUCUUUAUUCUGGCAAAAUACAGAACAUUUCGCGGUUUUAUAUUCUGAUUUUGUUCCGUGGACCGCCCUGAUACCUCCGGGUAUAGGGCGGUAUAUAAAUUCAAUCAGUCAGGAUGGGGUGGUUGGUGGACGAUAUUCUUUAAUAAUUAAAAAAAAUCUGGUCCUGAAGUGACUUCCAAGCAAUCCAUUACAAUCUGUUGCAGCCUAACAGGAUGGCCCCUAACUUGGCAGAGAGAGAAAAAUACCUGAAAUACAGAACAAAACUCUUAUCAACGGGGGAGAGGCACAAAAGAUCCACAAAAAACUGUACUGAAAAGCAUUGAAAGUACUCAAUUAAUUGAGGUUCUGCUCUCCCCACACCCAGCAGAUGCCUGUCCCCAGCAAAAGAUUGCUGCCUUUCAAUGUCCUCUUUUUGGGGGCAAUUUUUUUUUUUAAAAGCUCAAGAACUUUGGUGGGCGAUCUUCGGAGGAACAGCUCUGUCUCCCCCUAACAAAAAUCUUGUCUACGCCCAUGAUACAGGAUGUAGCUUUUUACAUGGAAAUACAGGACAAUCCUGUAUUAUACCGGACAGGUGGCAACCCUGCCAUAUUUACUCGGGUCUAAUGAGCCAUUGAAUCUAAUGCGCACUUCAAUUUUCAGAACCUUGAAACCCAAAAAAGUAUUUGCUGGCAAAUGUAAAUGUGACAUCGAAUCUAAUGUGCACCUUAAUUUUCGUGGUGUAAUUUGGCCAAAAAGGUGAGCAUCAGAUUCAAGUAAAUACAGUGUUUGCAUUUAUUUGACCAGAGCUUCCCUGGAGCAGAGCAAACUGGUGAACCCCAGUCCAAAUUCAGUGUGCUGCUCUAUGCUGGCUCCUUUGGUCUGAAUAGUUCAGCAACUGCUGUUGCUGUUCCCCUUCACUUACUGGAGAUGUUACUGGGUCUAAACAAAUGUGUGCUGCACUGCACUAGAUAGAUGGGUAGCCUUCAGUAAAACUGACGACGACUAUAAUGCCUCCAAAGCCUCACUUUUACCACCUUUUGCCCUGCUGGCCUUCCCCAAUCUAUUCCUCUUUGUGGCACCACAUAGGAGGUUUCAAAUGGAGGGGUUUGGAGCAGGGAUGUUGACUCAACAGGUUUUGCAAGUUGGACAGGACUGUGACUUUCCCCAGUGCUAAGCUCUAAGGCAGAUCCAAAGAGGAUUAGUUUCGAUAGCCAACAUUAAACGCCGCUGUAACUAUUUUCCAUAACUCCUUUUCCGAUACUACUCCUUCCACCUUCCUGCUGAGUGCUGAAGCAGAGAACUUGACUCUGCAGUGGGAAGUUCAGUUUUGAAAAGGGCUUUUACUUUCCUUUAAGUCCUCUAGAUAUUUACUUAGAAGUGAGUUUGAGGAGAUUUGCUGCUCCCAAGCAAGUGGGCAUCGGUUCACAGCCUUGGUAUCUGUGCUUGUACAAACUCUUCUCUUGCCCUACAAAAAAGAGAGAGGAAAAAUAGACUCUCAUUUUCGGUGUCUCUUUUCCUGCAUUUAGCUUGCAGGCAAGCCUCUCUCCUUUCAUGUUUAUCUUCCUAAACUGGACUGUAGUCAUUCUGAUAAAAUUCUAGUGCCACCUAUGUAUUCUUUACAGUGCCUGUGAUAGCGUUGGUUUUAAACAGCUCUUGAAACAGAUUUUAUAUACAUUCUACUUUAUAAGGGCCAUAUCAGCACCUCCUACAAUUCUGAAAAUCACAACCAGUUUAGGGCUCUUCACAUGUGCCUUUUUGUGAGACAUGCUAUGCUUCUCAGCAUGGGCAUGUAGAAAGCUCUACCUACCAAAGGGAAAAAGUGACUGUCUUAAUUCUUGGGCAGAAACAUUUCCUAGUCUUUCAGAUUAACCUAGAAAAAUGACUGCCCACAUACUUCAUGCUAACUAUUUGUGACAUAAGAGAAACAACAUUUGAAAUGCUUUCAUGUCUGCUUACCUGGAUGCAGUUCUUAUCAUAGGCAGUCAGGUAAACGGAUAUUUGCCAGUUUUCCUUGCCUGAGAAGCCAAGGGCCUUGUGCAUGCAAAGAUUUAGCUCCAUCACUGAACUACCAAACUUUCUUAUAUUAACUCUGAAUGUCCAUCUCUCUCCACCCCCGUUGUUGGAGUUUGGUUAAUUUGUAUUUAGAGCGGCUUCUCUAAGCCACUUUAUUGAUAAUGAACAAGUAUAACUCUUCCUGUUGAAGGAGAGAGUGAAGAGGGUACAGAUCAUCAAGGCAGCAAUCCUCAAACCACUUACUCCAGGGCACACUGGCUGAGGUCAAUGGAAUGGGACUCCUCCAAAGUGCAGCUGGAGGUAUUAGCACUGAUUAUGUUGAUAUUGAAGGAAUAUAGGGUCAGGCCUCCUAGGCUGUUUUUUUUCCUCAGAAAUUUCAGAGAGCACUUUAGACUCAGUCCUAUGCUCACACACUUAACACUUUACCAGCUCUUCAUGUGGUAUACUACUUAGGACAAAAUUUGAUCCUUUGAUUGGAAAAGUAAAAAAGAAAAAGUUAGCCGUGUCCCUCUCAUCAAAGCAGUGGCCAUUGAUUCUUAAGUACUCCUUGUUGAAAUCAAUGGGGAGUUCAAGCUUAAAAAUUAAUGCUACUGUAACUCAGUGUUAUUAAUACCCCAUAAAAUUUUAAAAGAGGAAUAUGUUUUACGUCUGGCUGGCAGUUAACAGCGCAUUGUGCCAUUUAAAAAGGCAAUACCAUCGUUCUUUAAAACAAACAACUGAGCCGACUUGAAGAGAGCGAGGACCCAGUUAAAGGAAUUAAAUAUCCAGUUGCGUAAAAUUCUAAUAGAAAAAUGAAAUAUUAAUUCCAUGCAAAGGACAGUUGUUGAAGCCCAUACUUAACCAAAGCCAGAAGCAAACAGCCCCUGAAGAAGAAAUAUUGGUAAGGGGGAUGUAGGUAUAUUCAGUGCUAUGUUUCUAUAUCACAGGCAACAGGAUCCUAUAUCUAAUGAUCUGCUCAGAGUGACAUAUCAUAAAUGCAAUAAAAUGCAUAAACCUGGGAGAACAGUUUGAGAAGUUUCUUAGACGGUUCAGCUCAUAGCCUGUGGGCCAAAUUACAAGGAAUGGUGAUAGAUCAUAGAUAGAUCUGCCUUAGGCAGAGUCAAACUAUUGAUUCAUCUAGAUCAGCGUUGUCUACUCUGACUGGUAGCAGCUCUACAGGGUUUCAGACCUACUUGUAAAUGCUGGGGACUGAAGCUGGGACUUUGUGAAUGCAAGAGAGAUGCCCAACCACUUCGCUACUAUCCUUUCCAAAGGAUCUUCCUAUGCUUUAAAUACUAAUCUACCUCACCUAUGUGCAAAGCAGAGAUGGAGGAGAAAUUGAGGGCAUAACAUGAGGUGUUUAACCUGUCUCUCCUGCACACAUACCCCAUGCUUAGGGUUGCCAAAUUUUUAAUUGGUUCCUUGCCACUUUAACAUCAGUUUUAGCUAUAGCAUUUAGCAGAUGCCAUGAAAAACAUCACCCAGCUUAUUUCAGUGUAUCAAACCUCUAUUAAAAGGACAGGACAGGCUGGUUUGUGUCUUAUCUUUCCUUGGUUAGUUGGCAACCCUGUCCCAACACUUACUUACCUGUUGUAUUGGAGCUAGGGUGACCAGAUGCAAAAGCUGAUGAGGCUCUGGCACCUUUAAUACUUGUGUAGAAUACAGAAUUUGCAGGUACAGCUAAUGAAAUUCUCUCUAUGGAACAACUCCUCAAGGUAUAGGAGCCCUGUCCUCUUUUGCAUCUGGCCACCUUCAGGAGCCCAGCUAGGAGAAAACUGACCUUGGAGGAGCUAGUUUGCAGGACAGACAGACAGGAUAAGGGCUGGUGCCGAUACACCCUUUAAAUCCCACCCCCGCACACACUUUGGACACAAUUGGGGCAGACCUGCAUUUAAAGACCUGGGGUUGCUGCCAUCACAUACAUUUAUAAAGUUUUACAUUUUGUACUGUGUUUGCAUUUUAUAUUGUUUUUUUAUAUUCCGUUUUGAUUGUAAGCUACUUUGGGUGGGCAUUUGUUCAGAAAAUCAGCCUUAAAUUAUUUUCAGUAAAGUAAAUGUUUUCCUUUUACAUAAACACACUGGGAAUAUUUAUGCGAGGACAGUAUACAAAUAUUAUUAUUAUUAUACAAUGCUUCCAGUUCCAGAUCACUGCCGAAGAGAGAGAAAGUUUUAAAAAGUAGCUUCACAGGCUGAAGGACAAGAUGGCAACUUCCCAUUCCAUGUACUGACUGGUAGGGCAGCAUUCUCCCUCAUACCAAAGGGAAUUACCAUAGCUUGGGGAGGAGUACAGGAAUGGCUUUGUGACACACAAACCUUCAGUGUCACUCCCUUCCUCCUGCCCACUCCAUUGUUUGCCACCUGAGGAAGCUGCCACACUCUGCCUAAUGGUAGGUAAUUAUUUAUUUUAGUAAGGGUUUGGUGCUCCCACAUUAUAUUAUUUAGUAAGGUAAUCUACAUAUCACUUACACUUCAAAGAAGCCUCUAAGCCAUUUUGAACACUGUAAAACUAUCACCAACCAAACAGUAGAAGACGGGGGUGAUGGCACCUACCUGACCUCCUGACAGGUGAGUCUCUGCUUCUUAUUGGGGAGGGAGGGGAGAUAGCACUUUGCACCAUCCCUUCCUCCUCAUGAUUUCCAAGAUAUCAGGUAAGCACCUCUGCCUCCUCUAAAGUUCCCCACUCACCCCUCCUUAUUAAAAAAAAUGUUUUUUCUUGAACUUUUUCCACACAGCUUUUCCAAAUGUUAACAUAGGCUUAGUAAGCCAACCUUGGGUGACAUCGUCGGCACCUCAUUGUCCUAUUGCUAAAGCAAAGGGUUGCGGGUGGUGCUGUGGUCUAAACCACUGAGCCUCUUGGGCUUGCCAAUCGGGAGGUCGGCAGUUCGAAUCCACAUUGCUCUGUCCCAGAUUCUGCCCACCUAGCAGUUCGAAACCACACCAGCGCAAUUAGAUAAAUAGGUACCGCUGUGGUAGGAAGGUAAAUGUGCACUCUGGUUUCCACCAUGAUGUCCCAUUGCACCAGAAGCAAUUGAGUCAUGCUGGCCACAUGACCUGGAAAAUUGACAAACACUGGCUCCUUCGGCCUGAAACAAAAUGAGCGCUGCAACCCCAUAGUCGCCUUUGACUGGACUUCUCCGUCCAGGGGUCCUUUACCUUUAGUACAAGUAUAAAAUAUAUCCAGCUCCACUAAAGUCUCUGUAGAGCCAAGUGAUGACCUGACAUGCAGAACUGCAGCCCCCACUUCUAGUUUAGCUCUCAGUGUUCGAACGAGGAUGGGGAGUGUCCAAGAUCCUUUUUGCCUGUGGGCUUAACUUGGCCAGGAAAAAACACCUGAGAGAGGUACCUUGUAAGCUGCAUCUGUGGAAUGAGGGGCUGUGCUGAGGGUCCAAUGGGAAGCCCCCAUGGCUCUUAACUGAGCCCCUGGCCUAUCCUUAAUAUAGAAAAAACAAGGUCUUGCUUUGACAGGCAAGAAGUACUUUCACAUGCCAAUAAAUCAAAGCAGCACUGUGCUGCUUUUCUCUGAGCCACUUUUGUGACAAUUGAAAACAGUUGGCCCUUUGCUCAAGACAGGGAAAUUGCAUUAUCUGCAUGCAAGUGAUCACAGCAGAGUUUUGGUUUGGUUUCUAUUGUUGGGGGAGGGGUUGGAGCAAUGCACACGGCCAAGCCCGCAAUUGCCCUGGCAUGAUCAAAGAACAACUGUUUUCCCAUGUCCUACAAUUGACCAAAACAGCCCCACUGACAAGAGUAAAGGGACACGUGAAAGUAAUCAGUGAUCACAGUGCAUUGGCAAGUACCUAAGGCAGUAAAGUACCCUGAAACUUGCAAAGUUAAUGUGUUAACAUAUGUUAGCAGGAAGAUUUUAGCCAGAGAUACCUCUUUACAGAUGAUGAUGGUGAUGAUGCAAAGACUAACAUUAUCCCUUUUGAAAAUGCGAGAAAAUGAAUGAUUAUAAUUCAGUUUAAUAAAUAUAUAUAGAUACAGUAUAUAGGUGUACUUGAACCACAGCGCCACCUUUGGGUGUCCUUUAUUUCUGCAAUUGUGGCCUCAGCAGGACCAAAAGAGUAGCUCAAUGCAAUAUAAUAUUUUGGGGGAUAUAUGAUAAAAAAGUAUGUGUCUGAAAAAGCAAAAGGGAAAACAAAAUUACUUUUCCAUGUUUUUGACAGCACCACUAAAAUGUUGCGUUAAACAAAUGUGUUUCGGAUGAGAGAAUGCAGUUGAUACUUUUUUUCUAUUUAUGCAUAUUGCGUCUUUUUAUAUAGAUUCAUGGGAGUGCCUUUAAGAGGGUUGUAGGCAGAUGGUCAUGAGAUUGAGCUUUCUCCAUCACUCUGCAUCUUUGUAAGACCAUCUGUCCUUUGGGCAGGGGGCAGGUGAAGGUGAUAGACACUUCAGUAGCGUUGCUACUGUUAAUCCCCCCCUCGUUAUUACUGACCCUUUUCUUAUGCUUUUAACUGGAAACCAAAAAUGCAGAAAAUAUGCAGGCUAUCCUUUCCCAUCACUUUCUAUCCAUACCAAGGAACAUAGGAUGCAUCCCUAAACUGAGCCAGAUCCAUUGCUCCACCUAUCUCAGUGUCACUACACUGAACGACAACAGUUCUCCAGGGUUUCAGAACGGGACAUUCCCAGACCUACCUAAAGAGGCUGGUUUCUUCCAGGGACCCUCUGCAUGUAAGGCAACUGCCCUACCACUGAGCUAUGGCCCUUCCCUACCAGCUUCAGCAGCGAUGGUGCAAAUAGUCAAAUAUGUUGCAUCCUGCACCAAAAUGUCAGCAUGACCUGCUCUUCUCAUAGUAGCUUCCUCUGCAGAGUUCACUAGGUGAAGCUUUCCUGGCACAGAAACAUAUCCUACUGACUUGCAAAAUGGAAGAAUGAGGACUGCGUCAGGACCUGUAAAUAGCUGCCCUGUGUGAUAAGCCAAUGAAGCAGAGGGGACAACUCCUCAGUAAAGGAGUUUCAAGCACUGGACUGAUUCCUUUCAUUCAGGAUGACCAUUGGUUCCUUCUGGACAGAAGGGUUUCCUUUUCCAUCUGAACCUUGUUUGAACAAUACAUUUUUCCUGGGGACUGAUGCGUCCUUGGAUGCUUCUAAUUUUGAUUGAUAUUGAAAGUUGUCAACUAACCACAGUUCCCUAAAUACAGAAAACUGGAUUGUUUUAACUAUAAUUAGUUAACAAAUUAGAAUAUCAAACCAUGGUUUGAUCCUGGUUUGUUUGAAUCAACCAGAAUUAGGGGGGAUAGGGGACACAGUUUCCUGCAAUUUGAUGUCAGACGGAACUGUGGUUAGCUUAAAGGCAAAAGCACAAACUUCAUCUUAAUCGUAUAUGAGGGAAUUCAGGAACAGCACAUGAGCCCAAGGCUUGCAUACACCAAAUCUCCUAAUCACAAGCCAUGGUUUUCCAUUAUGCUUGAACCAAGAGAGUGAGUCUGUGUCUAUUAGCUGUGUGAGACGCAAACACCAAUAUAGAUACAUCACUUUUCAAAACUUUCUCCCUGCCAAGGAAAGUGUUCUUAUGUCUUUUUAAAUGUGGAGCUGAAUUAUGUGUUAAGUGGGAGAUGGGGUGAUUUGGGGCACAUAAAUGUCAUGUGGGUAAGAGAUGUUGAACCCUCCUACCUGCUACUGCUCUCCCUAUAGUUCCCUCUUCUGCCCCACCGCUUUUCUUUCAUCCAGUUUCACUCCUGAUACUGGAGUCAGGCUUUCGGUGGAAAUUAGCUGAAGGAAAAGUGGGAGGUGAUGGGGAUUUCAAUACCCCUUCACCCAUAUAUCCGUAAAUUGCAAUUCCACCUACAGCUAUAUAUGGGAUUGGGGGGAAGCAAUGAUUAAAAGCAGGGCUCGCCCAAGACAUUUUGCUGCCCGAGGCAAAGGACAAGAUGGCACCUCCCUCAUUGCAACUGGACUGGCAGCUAAAUCUUACUUCAACACUGGCAUUAACAGUGUCCUCAGCUAUUCUUGGGGGCAGCUGGUUAGCUUGGAGGCCAAAAGGCAGGCCACACAGCACACAUAGCUGUGUCCACCAAUACCUUGUUGCCACUUGUCCCUCAAUAUCUACCACCUGAAGUCUCCACCUCACUAUGCCUAACAGUAGGGGCGGCACUCUUUCAAAGACAGACAUACAGUGGUACCUCGGGUUAAGAACUUAAUUCGUUCCAGAGGUCCGUUCUUAACCUGAAACUGUUCUUAACCUGAGGUACCACUUUAGCUAAUGGGGCCUCCCGCCACCACUGUGCCGCCACCGCACAAUUUCUGUUCUCAUCCUGAAGCAAAGUUAUUAACCUGAGGUACUAUUUCUGGGUUAGCGGAGUCUGUAACCUGAAGCGUCUGUAACCCGAGGUACCACUGUAUGCUACUUUUGCAAGUGGUUUGGCCACAAGAAGAAAAGUGAAAAACCUAUUACUAUUUUAGAAGUUCGGUGCUGCUUACAACCUACAAUGUUGAAUAGCUAUCUUUAAUUACAUUCUAAUAGAAAGACCUCUCAGGUAAGCUUAGGUUAUCUGUGUUAUUAAAAAUCGCUGUUGGCGUUGCACAUCAUUUAUUUGAUUAUUCAGAAAUCUGUUAUCUAUAGAUAGGAAAGUAGCCUUAGGAUAUAUUUACAUCUUUUAAAACAACAACAAUCUCCCUUCCAAAAUAUUUAGAGAGCUACAAACUUUUCUAUGUCCAGACAGGGACACUGACUUAAGCAUCUCUCCCCUCCCCCCUCCCCCUCAUCUAUAGGAAAAUCUAGAAAAGGAGCAUUAUCCAGUCCAAGUUAGGAGUCUUAAGUUCUUAUUGGGAGAGAUUUGGAGUAUGCUCAGCUCUCUCACUAAAAUCAAUGAGACUUAACAGUGCUGAAUGCUGGCUGGCUUAUCCUGGCCAAAUGGCUAAUUUCUAAUAUACAGCAUGAUACUGUGCAUAUCUACUCAGAAGUAAGCCCUAUUAAAUUCACUGGGACUUACUCUUAUGUCAGCGCGCACAGAGUUGCAGACUCUGAUUUCUUUCACCAUUUAGUUCAAUAUAGUGCAAGCAUAAUUACACAGGAGUAAGCCCAAGAGAGGGACGCAGGUGGCGCUGUGAGUUAAACCACAGAGCCUAGGACUUGCCAAUCAAAAGGUUGGCGGUUCGAAUCCCCGCAAUGGGAUGAGCUCCCGUUGCUCGGUCCCUGCUCCUGCCAACCUAGCAGUUCAAAAGCACAUCAAAGUGCAAGUAGAUAAAUAGGUACCACUCCUGCGGGAAGGUAAACGGCGUUUCCGUGCGCUGCUCUGGUUCGCCAGAAGCGGCUUAGUCAUGCUGGCCACAUGACCUGGAAGCUGUACGCUGGCUCCCUUGGCCAAUAAAGCGAGAUGAGCGCCGCAACCCCAGAGUCGGUCACGACUGGACCUAAUGGUCAGGGGUCCCUUUACCUUUAAGCCCAAGAGACUCUAUGCACUUUUGAGCAAAUAUGCAUUGGAUCAGGCUACCCCCCCCACCCCCAAAUAAUAAUAAUUCAAGAGUGGAAGUCAGAGCCAUCCAAACCAAUGGGCUUGUUUAGGAUGGGCAGGAAUAUACGGUGUCUUCCCCAUGUUUCCACACCACAUGAUAGAAUUAUUGAAUCUUAAGAGUUGGAAGGGACCCCCCAAGAGUUGGAGGGUCAUCUAGUCCAACCCCUUGCAAUGCAGGAAUCUCAGCUAAAGCAUCCAUGACAGAUGGCCACCCAACCUCUGCUUAAAAACCUCCAAGGAAGGAGAGUUCACCACCUCUCUUAUAUCUUUGCUAACUACGGCUGCACAAACCCCCAUACAUUUAAAGCACAUUUGUCGAGGGUGCUGGAGUUCCUACAGUUCCCAGUGCUCUUUAGGGGGACGUCAUGUGCUUUAAAUGUAUGGUGCAUACACAGCCUUAAAAAAAAUGCAGCAAUAUUUCCAGCAAUUUUUCCAAAAAUAUAUUAAUUCUGAGUGAAGAAAUAUCCCCCUCUGCUUUACUUGCCUCGUUCAUAAGGAUGUUAAAGUGGGGAGUUGGAGGCAGAGAGAAAGAAUUCAGGCGAUUUGAGGAGGAGCCAAAAUUGUGGGGUAGGGUACAAAAUUCACCACUGCAAAUUCACUGAAGUCCCUCUAGUCAUUUGGUAGCUGCCACUCUUUUCACUCAAAAGUUCCCAGAGUGUGAGGGCAUCAUGUCGCUCUUAGGGGCAUGUUUGGAAAAGGACAGCUGGGCCCCAUUUACACUAUAUGUUUAAACUCUAUUAUACCAAUUUAAACCAACAUGGCUUUCCCCCAAAGAAUUCUGGGGAUGGUAGUUUGUUAAGGAUGCUGAGCAGUGCUGCUUUUCUAGAAAAAGAGGUACAGGAACUCACCAUAAAUGCCUUCCUUGUUCUCUUAUAAUGGCAAUGGCACCCAUCUGUGAGGUGCCAGAACUGAGUUCUGGCGAUUUCUGGCUGGAAAAAAGCACUGAUGCUGAGAGUUAUUAGAAGACCCCAUUCCCCACAUACAGCUACAGUUCUCAUAAUGACUUAGCAAGCAAUCCUCCUUCCCAGGGAACUCUGGGAAUUGUAGCUAUGUGAGGGGAAUAUUGGGUACAUAGGGCUCAGCACUAAAACAUUUUGUUAAGGUUUGAGAUUGACAAUAAUAACAAUAAUUUCAAUAAAAUCUAAGAGCAGGCCCUGCCCCCAGCCCAGCCCACACUGAAAUCUUUUAUCUCAUCUUUCUCCUGCUACGGACCCUUGACAUGGUGCUGCAAAACAAAAUUUCACAUAAUAUUUUCAGGGAGCAAGUUAAGCAGACAAAUAAAACAUGGAUUAUAAAAUGAAUAAGUAAAUUUGGCUAAUUCAGUUGAUCCAACUGUUUUUUGGUUUAGUGAACGCAAGAUACAUGUCACAGUGGCAUGAGUCAUCCUUUUUGGCACCAUAACUAAACUGUUUUGGAUCAAUCACUACUGUUUCUUUAAGCCUGGCCUUACCUCAGAAUAUUCCAGCAGUAAAAACUAAUAUGUUAGUCAUUUCAUUGUAAAGAACAGGAAAUACCAUAAUGGUUUUGAAUAUUUUCAGAAUGCAAAGUGACCAUGGAUUGCACUGGUUAAUUUUAAGAUAGUAUUAGCUUGGGGGGGGAGGGAAGACCCUCGCCCCCGGGUUUUAUAUUUUUACUCACUCUUUCGCUGCAGUCUGGAAUGAGCUCUGAAAAUAUGCUUAGAGAGUAGCUAAUAAAGAACAAUAUCCAGGAAUAAUUUGUUCCACAGGAAGAAUAAAAAGUUAAGCAACUUUAGCUUUCUUUUCUAAAUGUUUCUGCCAAGCAAAUUUUAAAAAUUCAGAGAGGAUAUUAGCAUUGUACCCAAAUGACUGCAUACCCAUUGACUGGUUCAUUUUGAUUGUUUCAUUUCCUUUCUGACCAGAUAAAUCAGGCUUCCUCAACUUCGGCCCUCCAGAUGUUUUUGGCCUACAACUCCCAUGAUCCCUAGCUAGCAGGACCAGUGGUCAGGGAUGCUGGGAAUUGUAGUCUCAAAACAUCUGGAGGUCCGAGGCUGAGGAAGCCUUAGAUAAAUAUUUAGGGCAGCAUUAAAAUUCCUUCUUACAACUAGUGUCUCAUAGUUAGUAAGUUAUCGCAUAUUUCCCUAUUAUCAGCCCAGAAUGGGAAUGAAUUAUUUACUACCACAUUGCCAGCGACUAUAUAUUGUGAAGUUUUGAUGAUUUCAAAACAGUAUAAACAGUAUUUACGAUUGAUGUCUCAUUUUUUCCUGCUAGGAAGCAAGAAAGGCAGCAAGCUUAAUGGUAAAGUGGUACCAGGAUUAUCCCCAAGGAUCUUCAGGUAGGGCUGGGAAUGAAACCCUGGACAAUACUAUGUGGAGAAUAUGGAACUAGCUAGAUGAACCAACUGUCUGCCUUUGUUUAACACAGCUUCGUUUGAUACUAAAGUGGGGCCAUUGUGGUAGUUGAGCACCUGCCCUAUUGGUCCUCGUGCCUCUACUUUUCCUCGGUGUCUCCCAGCUGCUUCCCGCUUCCUUCCAGAACAUUGCAUGGAGACCUCAUUUGAGACAGGCGACUGUUCUCAGGUGUGUGGUUUACAUGCCAAAAAACGCACUCCACUUUCAACCCUUUUCAGGGUCUUUUGAAGAUGGCCAUAGAUGGUUCGGUUGCUGGCUUGUCAAGACAACAGAAUCUUCUAUGGAUCAGAAAGACACCUGGAAUCCUCUUUGACAUGUCCUCUGCAGAAGAAUUCAUCCUGAAUUCUGGGCAAGAAUUGUAGCAAUUGGUUUGCAUGAAGAAGGUCCAAGGUUGAGGCCCUGGCUUUUCCAGGUAGGUCUGGGAAGGUCCCCUGCCUGAAACAGUUGCAAAGCCACAGCCAGUUAGUACUGAGUUAGAGUGACCUAGGGCCUGACUCCGUAUAAGUGUCGUGGAUUUGUUGGAUGCAGCAGAAUGGUGGGAGGAACCAGCUGGGGAAACUCCAAGGGAUGAAGGCUCAGAGCCCAGGGAUUGGUGGUGGGACAACGGUGAGUGGACAGAGGGAGAAGAGGGAGAAGAUUAGGAGGAGGAGGUGUCAGAAGCUGAAGAGGUUACAGGGAUUAGUGAGCGAAGGGAGUAUAUGGCAGAGAGAGUCCAGAAUCAGAGGCAGAAGCUGAUGUCGGCAUGCAGAGGGUUGCAAGGCCAGCUGGCUAGCCCCAGCUGGGUCGUCUCCUUCCAGCCGUCCCACUGCGAAGACCCAUCGCCCUCUGCUCUGAUGUAAAUCAGCGACCCAGGCUUCAAAGCCAGGGCACACUAUGUCAGCAGAGCGAACUGCACACACAGAAUAGGCAUGAGGCUUGUGGAAGCAUACUACAACUACGGAUUUAUUAAUCAUAAAUCAGGACAAAGAAACAUGUCGUCCCUCUUUUUGUCUUCUCAGAGAGACAGGGAAAAGGAAAAGCCAUACACACAACGGAAGUUCCCAGCAUACUGUGCUGGAAUGUAAACAGACAUGUGACACGUAUGAAUUCCAUGUCUGCUCCUUAAGGUGGAAUAGAAAUUCUCAACAGCUGAAGCAGGAAAGGAGGGAGGCCAAGAGACAAAGAUGAGUCUGGCUGGUGAAGAGGUGCUGGAGUCUCUCCCUCCUGCUGUGACAAACUCCCCUCCCCUCUGGUCUCCUAGAACCAGGAGAGGCAUGAAAAGAGCAGGGGAGAAGUUAGCUGCUUCCAGAUUGCUUAGGGAAAACCCUGGAGCGGAGGGGAUUUAGUCAGCUGUGGGGAGGCCGGGACCUUCAAUCUCUGCUUCAUGGAGGCAAAACCAGUUGGAGACGAGUUGCUGCCUCCUUAGACUUGACACUCCUGUUCAGAUCCUGUUUGUGCUAAUAGUUAAGUCCAACUUGCUCUGUAAGAUUUACUGCUGGCUUUCUCCUGUCAAUAAGGCAACUCCCUAUGUUCCCAAGUUGCAUAUUGACUUCCUGCUUGAGCUACACGAAGACUUACGGGUGGCACACACUGUUUCAACAACAUUUUAAUAUGAAUCAGCUCCACAAGAUGUGUCACUUCUAAAACUAUUUUUUCAUUUUUGCAUGUUAUGUUCCUCCCCCCCCGCCGCCCCCCUCCAUUUCAUUAGAGGAGUCUCUAAUUGGAAUCUGAAAAUACGUCAUAACCUAAGUGACCCUCCUUAAAUCAAGCAGAAAGAUGGUUGCGUAAUCUGAGGUGUUGAGGCAUGCUGAUUUUUUCCUUAAUCAAUGCUCUGCAAACUAGACUUUUAAAGUUGAGAACUUAUAUAAAAAUUAAAAAAGAAAAAUCCAGAGUUUUCUAACACCAUCUGAUCUCUUUGAAGCAGCUAGAAUCCCAGAAUAAAUUAUCUCAAAGAAUUCCAGUAUUUAUACUGAGAUCAGUCUGGAGAAAUGGAUCCAAAAAAUUAUGAGAGGGACAAAUCCAGGGCAGAUGAUGGUGCUUUCAAAUCAGGGGGGAAACUAUUCUAAAGGAAACCAGAGUUUUCAUGGCAUCUAAAAGUGAAAGGGAAGCAGUAUUGUGAAACUAGCAAAAAGCAUAAGUUUCUUCUGUAGAAAUAGACCUUUAUACCAGCUCUACAAUUCUAUGAUUCCAGAGCUGCGUUCUCGCCCCAGCUCUCUUUGACAUAUUAUCCUAUCUUCUUCUCUCUGUUGCUUCCAUAUGCCUUCAACUCAACUGACAAAGGGGUGUUCAAGGAGUGACGGGAGUCCAUUCAACCUGCCUUGUCUCCAUGCCAAGACAAAAGUGUGGCGGGUUAUUAUCUGAGAAUGACUGCAGACAGUCAGGUUGUGUAUCUACAGCAGCGACUGGAGGAGGAAUUACCACUGGGAGGAAAACACCAUGGUGCAUCUUCAGCAGCACAACCAGAUGCCUUCAUCUGUUCCAACUGAAAGAAAACAUGUCUCUCCUGUAUCAGUCUCUACAGCCACAGCAGGCGCUGUAAGUCUCCAAUGGUUUGACUUCACCUCCAAAGGCACAAACUCUUCCACUGUGUCCCAAGAUGCCAACCAACCAAUGAUCCCAGAUGGCCAGCAUGCAAAAUCAUAGACUGAAAGUACAUUUAAAGCACAUUUCCCCUCAAAGAAUCCUGGGAGACUUUAGUUUGCAUCUCACAAAGUUAAAUUAUCAGCACCCCCUAAACUACAGUUCCCAGGAUUAUGUGCUUUUAAUUAAUGGCAUGUGUGCAGUCUUGCCCGAUAUCCAAAUAUUGUUUGGUUCAAAAUGAAGGCAGACCCAAGUUGCCUCAGAAUCAAGAAGCAGGAUGAUUACCCCAUUGAAAGAAAGUUCCAGCUUGAAUCUCUCUCCUUAACCACCAAGAAACUCCUACUUGAAUCUCCCAUGUCUAUUCUCUGGUUUUGAAAACAUUUGGUUACAGUUGUCAGGAAGAGCCAUGUAGCCUAAGAGAGAAAGGACAGACAAACCAGCUAAUCACAGACAACUAGGCAAAUGAGGUUUUCCAAUCCCAUGCAAAUGUAGGGAGAAUGACUUCAUAUUUUCUCCAUGGCCGUGAACCCACAUUCUACCCACGACCCUUGUGUAAGAUAGGCUUCCUACACAGGAAACUGAACUUACUCAUAUAACAUCUGGAGAUUUGCUAAGAGUGGUAGGGGGAAGGGUUGAGGCUUAAGAAAAGAUGGGGCUGGUCUAAUUAAGCUGGCCAAAUUUAAGAAAUCCAGCCAAUUUCCAUUAAAGGCGUCUUAAAUUAUGUCAUCACCAAUUUAGAGCUUCUAAAAUUAAGAUAAGUUAAUGCAUGUGACAAUAGGUCACCAGUGAUUCAAUAACUCUUCUGCUGCCUGCCUGGGACUGCAAAAAGAGGCACACCAGUCAAAUUGUUGUGCAAGCCUAUCCAAUGGAAAUUGUACCAUGCAAUGACCCAGGAAGGGAAUAAUGCUUGAAUGAGACCUAACUGCAGCAGACUGCACACACUUGCCACUUUGCGAUUGCUAAGUCUUGUGACAAUCUGGCAAUUAAAAGCUACUCUUAAUGGAAAAGAACGCCAUCGGAUAAUGGCUUCCUGCCGUUAAAUAGAUAUCGUGGCAAAGUUGUGGUAUUUAUAGAAAGUCAACACGAAGACAAAGCCAGGAGAUUUAUUUUCAGAGUCAGUAUCCUGGAUCCUGAGAUUCUCUUGCAAUUGCUUUGCAUAUUUCUAUUUUACUACAUGACUGAUGAAAAUGGAAUUAUUUUUGCCUUGAUGUAUGUUGGUGCAGCAAAGUGACAGUUGCUCAUCUUACCGUUACUGAAUAGCUGCACUCUGCUUGGCUGAAGGAAAGAGAUUUAUGUUGUGGUUCAUCCAAUCAGAAAGCAGCUAAUCCAUUUAAGCAUGGCCUGUAUAUUUUAUUCACCAUAAUAGUAUUUCUGUUAAGAAAGGAAGGCCUGAUGUUUCUGGUUUCUAGGUAGCCUCCGAUUAGAAGUUUAUAAACUCGUAAGUAAAAGAGGAGAAACUCUAUAUCCACCAUACUUGCCACAUUCCAGUUGGACAUCUCCAGAAACAACUUAACGUUGUGUUUUCGGCUGAUAAAACCCUGAGGAUGGAAUCCUAGGUUUGCUUAUUUGGAGCGGGGGGUUCGUUGAAAAAGACUGGGUUGCAUCCAGAGUGAAGGGACAAUUGUGCAAAGGGAAUUUCCUCAUCCCUUCCUCUCCAGUGCAGAGUGCUGUACCCCCCAAAAACUUCCUGGGAGUCAGGGGGCUUCUCCUGGGCAGUGGGAGUGCUGGUGGCAGUGGGGAGAGGAGAAGCAGGGCAAACUGGGAAGAGGCAGGUUAAGAAGCCAAGAAAAGCAUUGCCCGAUGAUUUCUGCAGAUGAAGCCAGCACUAGAGACUCAAGAGGAAAGCCGGCUGGUGAGGAAUCAAAGGACCAGGCUUCCAAAGGGUUAGGCCCAAAGUACAUACCUAAGACACACUGAAGAGUACACUUUUAAUGGCAUGUGCAAAAUUGGAUUUUCAGUGGCUAGUCCACAAUUACGAAACUUAGCAAUGCAUCAAAAUGGACUGAUGCUGUCAUGUGGAGGUAGCUUAGGAUAGUGUCAGGCUGCUGCAAAGUAUAGCACCCGAUCAUCAUGUGCUCUGUCAUCUGGCUUAGAAAGUUUCCACAAAAGGCCACCUGCUACCAGGAACAGAUUUAUCUCUUUUAGCUGGGGGAUGAGUAUAUAUUAAUCUCCCAUUUAUGUUCCUAGGCCAAGUCCCACCAUAAUGGAGGCAGGUUGCAGGGCUCAAACCUGGUUCGCGUGACGCCCUGGUUCAGAGCCAAGCAGCCUAGAAAUUAGUGGAUCGUUAUAUGAUAAAAAUGCACGCUGGAUCUGCUAUGAAACCGUUGCAGAUAAAUAGUCCCUGGUCGAAGGAUUCUGUGCUUUCUCUUAUCACUCCUCCCAAUAGUGAACACAUCUUGUGAGUACCAAUAGGGAAGCAGCCUAAACAGGUGGCUGAGACACAAGAGGCAAGUAACAGCAUGAUCAAGGGAGCCCCAAGUUCUGCGGAAGUAGAGGGGAUUUUGGGGAGGGGGAAAUCUUAGGGAAUCUUACACUCAGUAAGAACUGAGUGUGCUCCGCGGGUACAGAAUAUUUGUUGUGAGGAAAUCUAAGGGGAAGAGGGGAUGGAAUGGAGUAUUCUAGGAAAGGGCAUUAAAGGGCACAAUCAUCAUCAACUAAAUUUCUAUACCGUUCUUCCUCCAAGCGUCGCAGGGCAGCUUAAAAUAUAAAGGCACAAAAAUGCAUAGCAUAGUAACAAACAAAAACAACUCUCUCUCCCCUCCCUCAAGUUUAAAAGGUCCUAGAUCAUGACCUUAGUUUAUUCCACGUUUGUCAGAUGGACCUUAAUUAAUGAGAGUAAAAGUAGCUUGCUGUACCGUUGUUAAGAAGUUGCAUGUGAUUGCUUUAAAAAGGCUUGUGCCAUGUGCCUCAGCUAAUCAUAAAGCAGCUUACUUUAGAAAUGUGUUCUUUUAAAAUAAAAAAUAAGAAAGAGUUCUGAGCUUUUGAAAGCAAACUAGCUUUGGAUUGGUUCGAGUUCUGCUUUAACUUUAAUCAGUAAUUAAGGGUCAGCCAUCCAGUAAACUCAUUAGUUUACACCAAUUACAUUGGGUAUAGUAACUAAUGAUUCUGAGGAUCAUGCCACUUAUUUCCAAGCUUUCAAAGUAUAAUUAUGGUGUAAAUCAGAUAGAGCGUAAAUCUUUUCCAUACGUUUUGGUUGGUAAUUGAGGGAUAAAAUGGUUUCCAAAUGUAUUCUCUCUCCCCCACACACCCAACUUUUCGUUUUUUGUUCUGCAAUAGAUUUCUCCUGGGACUCUUUAAAGGAUACGGAAAAGGUGAUGUCAACAGCACUGUAUAUGCUGGGCAAAUGGAGACAGGACUAAUUAAUAGAGAUACAAAAGAAAAUAUUUCCCCUUUCAAAUUUUUGGUUCAGACAUUAAACGCAGGCACUGCACCACAGUCCUGAGAUGAAGGAAAGCAGGUCAGCAAACACCUAAGUUUCAUCCUCCCUCCCACCAAAAAAUAGAUAGGUAGGUGAAUUUUAAAAUCUGUUAUAUGUAAUGCAUAACUGCUAAUGCCACUGCUCCUGCUUUUAAAAUGAUUUAGUCUCUGGAGCAUUUCCCUUUGAAGUUUAAUAUGUAGUUUCAUGUCUGCACAACAUUUUCAAUGCAUUAAACAAAUUAGUCUCUGGUUACAAAAGUUUUUCGACGUUUUCCAGUUGCCACUUAACUAAAUCCAUUAUGUGUCAACGAAGCUGAUCAUUUAAAAGAGCGAACUUUUUGGAAUGAUUAAUAAAUAAAACAGCUUCUCUCAACCUAAGUGUUUACUUGAAAGCAACCCACUUUAGAAAGACAUUAAUAUCCCUCGAAUUAUUAUUAGAAUAAUUGCUUUUACUCGUCUUAGAACAACACACUUUCCCCUCCUCAUUUCCCUUCAGCUCAGACAGCUUUUCACUCAGAUGGAAACUUCCUAUUAUUUGUCCCCAGCCCACCCCCGCCCAGCAAAAUGAAGAAUAGGAAUUAUACACUUUUCACUAAGGAAUAAUUAAUAUGUCUCAAGUAUUAGAAGAGAG
RNAcentral lists this long non-coding RNA (18674 nucleotides) under Podarcis lilfordi (Lilford's wall lizard). The record is from RNAcentral. Lineage: Eukaryota; Metazoa; Chordata; Lepidosauria; Squamata; Lacertidae.